RNAcentral lists this ribosomal RNA (573 nucleotides) under Triticum aestivum (bread wheat). RNAcentral's name for it is "partial small subunit ribosomal RNA". Lineage: Eukaryota; Viridiplantae; Streptophyta; Magnoliopsida; Poales; Poaceae. The record is from RNAcentral.
AUGGGUGUUGGCUCCAACAAUUCGCAUUGGUCUCAAACCAAUGACAUCCAUUUCGAAGACCAUGAGUUCGAGGUGGACGAGGAGGGUGAGGGCAUUGUCGACGUGCCGAAAGGAAGAGCGGGCAAUUACACUAACAAAGAUGACAUCUUACUAUGCAAUACUUGGUUGCAAGUGUCGAGGGAUCCAUCCGUUGGAGGUGAUCAAAGUAGAGAUGCUUAUUGGGGGCUGAUGAAAGAACACUUUGAUGCUCACAACGUGAGUGGAAUUGACCGCUCCGAGAGAUCAGUUCGGCCCCGGUGGUCGACAAUCAACUCGGAUUGUCAAAAGUGGGCGGCCGCACAAAAGGCGGUUGACAAGUUGAACCCAAGUGGCACAAAUGAGGACGAUAGAGUAAGUGGCAUUUCAUACAUGUUCAUCAUACUUGUUUUUGGUGUCCGAAGUGCUAACUUGUUUUGUUUUUCUUGUAGUACAACACUGCACAAAACUUGUUCAAAGAAGAGGAGAGGAAAACCAAGAAGGGGAAGAUCAAGAAAGGAAGGGUAUUUACCUUGCCUCAUUUCUACAAAUUGUUGA